Molecule: ribosomal RNA, 442 nt
Filed under: uncultured bacterium
Lineage: Bacteria
Description: partial 16S ribosomal RNA
Rfam family: Bacterial small subunit ribosomal RNA
Source: RNAcentral
CCUACGGGAGGCAGCAGUGGGGAAUAUUGGGCAAUGGGCGAAAGCCUGACCCAGCAACGCCGCGUGAAGGAAGAAGGCUCUCGGGUUGUAAACUUCUUUUGACAGGGAAGAGCAGAAGACGGUACCUGUCGAAUAAGCCACGGCUAACUACGUGCCAGCAGCUUCGGGAAUACGUAGGUGGCAAGCGUUGUCCGGAUUUCCUGGGUGUAAAGGGCGUGUAGCCGGGCUGACAAGGCAGAUGUGAAAUCCGGGGGCUCAAUCCCCGAACGGCAGUUGAAACUGUUGGUCUUGAGUAUCGGAGAGGCAUGCGGAAUUCCUAGUGUAGCGGUGAAAUGCGUAGAUAUUAGGAGGAACACCAGUGGCGAAGGCAGCCUGCUGGACGACAACUGACGGUGAGGCACGAAAGCGUGGGGAGCAAACAGGAUUAGAUACCCCUGUAGUC